Molecule: ribosomal RNA, 794 nt
Filed under: uncultured Flexibacteraceae bacterium
Lineage: Bacteria; Pseudomonadati; Bacteroidota; Cytophagia; Cytophagales; Cytophagaceae
Description: bacterial SSU rRNA
Rfam family: Bacterial small subunit ribosomal RNA
Source: RNAcentral
ACGCUAGCGGCAGGCCUAAUACAUGCAAGUCGAACGGGGCAGCAAUGCUUUAGUGGCGCACGGGUGCGUAACGCGUAUACAACCUACCUCUAUCUGGGGGAUAGCCCGGAGAAAUUCGGAUUAACACCGCAUAAGAAGGUAGCCUCGCAUGGGGCAGCCUUUAAAAGAGAUGGAUAGAGAUGGGUAUGCGUCUGAUUAGUUAGUUGGCGGGGUAACGGCCCACCAAGACGAUGAUCAGUAGGGGUUCUGAGAGGAAGGUCCCCCACACUGGCACUGAGAUACGGGCCAGACUCCUACGGGAGGCAGCAGUAGGGAAUAUUGGGCAAUGGUCGGAAGACUGACCCAGCCAUGCCGCGUGAAGGAUGAAGGGUCUACGACUUGUAAACUUCUUCAGCUAGGGAAGAAAAAGAGAGUGCGCUCUUUAUUGACGGUACCUAGAGAAUAAGCACCGGCUAACUACGUGCCAGCAGCCGCGGUAAUACGUAGGGUGCAAGCGUUGUCCGGAUUUAUUGGGUUUAAAGGGUGCGCAGGCGGCCUAUUAAGUCAGUGUUGAAAUACGGCGGCUCAACCGCCGGUCCGGCACUGAUACUGAUGGGCUUGAGUUUACUGGGAGGCAGGCGGAAUUUAUGGUGUAGCGGUGAAAUGCAUAGAUACCAUAAAGAACACCGAUAGCGAAGGCAGCUUGCCGUGGUAUAACUGACGCUCAGGCACGAAAGUGUGGGGAUCAAACAGGAUUAGAUACCCUGGUAGUCCACACUGUAAACGAUGAUUACUCGAUGUUGGCGAUAGACAGU